UGAAUAGCGGGCGAUGGAGUUCGCCUUGAAUUCCGUAUAAACGGUAAUGACUCCUACCACCUA
This 63-nucleotide non-coding RNA is filed under the name Propionispora sp. 2/2-37. RNAcentral describes it as "Fluoride riboswitch aptamer (crcB RNA motif)". It matches the Rfam family "Fluoride riboswitch aptamer (crcB RNA motif)". Lineage: Bacteria; Bacillati; Bacillota; Negativicutes; Selenomonadales; Sporomusaceae. The record is from Rfam by way of RNAcentral. RNAcentral also lists the same sequence under 1 other name.